RNAcentral lists this ribosomal RNA (253 nucleotides) under uncultured bacterium. RNAcentral describes it as "partial 16S ribosomal RNA". It matches the Rfam family "Bacterial small subunit ribosomal RNA", at positions 524 to 776 of the family's 1533-position model. The record is from RNAcentral.
UACGUAGGGUGCAAGCGUUGUCCGGAAUUAUUGGGCGUAAAGGGCUCGUAGGCGGUCCAUCGCGUCGGGAGUGAAAAGCUGGGGCUCAACCCCAGUCCUGCUUCCGAUACGGGUGGACUAGAGGUAGGCAGGGGAGAACGGAAUUCCUGGUGUAGCGGUGAAAUGCGCAGAUAUCAGGAGGAACACCUAUGGCGAAGGCAGCUCGCUGGGACGUUACUGACGCUGAGACGCGAAAGCGUGGGGAGCAAACAGG